RNAcentral lists this ribosomal RNA (253 nucleotides) under uncultured bacterium. Its description in RNAcentral is "partial 16S ribosomal RNA". It matches the Rfam family "Bacterial small subunit ribosomal RNA", at positions 524 to 776 of the family's 1533-position model. The record is from RNAcentral.
UACGUAGGGGGCGAGCGUUGUUCGGAAUCACUGGGCGUAAAGGGCGCGUAGGCGGCCUCUCUUGUCGCGUGUGAAAGCCCCGGGCUUAACUUGGGAAUUGCGCUCGAAACUACUUUGCUGGAGUGUGGCAGAGGAAGGUGGAAUUCCACGUGUAGCGGUGAAAUGCGUAGAGAUGUGGAGGAACACCAAUGGCGAAGGCAGCCUUCUGGGCCAACACUGACGCUCAUGCACGAAAGCGUGGGGAGCAAACAGG